Molecule: ribosomal RNA, 429 nt
Filed under: Chloroflexota bacterium
Lineage: Bacteria; Bacillati; Chloroflexota
Description: Chloroflexi bacterium partial 16S ribosomal RNA
Rfam family: Bacterial small subunit ribosomal RNA
Source: RNAcentral
UGGGGAAUAUUGCACAAUGGGCGCAAGCCUGAUGCAGCCAUGCCGCGUGUGUGAAGAAGGCCUUCGGGUUGUAAAGCACUUUCAGCGGGGAGGAAGGGAGUAAAGUUAAUACCUUUGCUCAUUGACGUUACCCGCAGAAGAAGCACCGGCUAACUCCGUGCCAGCAGCCGCGGUAAUACGGAGGGUGCAAGCGUUAAUCGGAAUUACUGGGCGUAAAGCGCACGCAGGCGGUCUGUCAAGUCGGAUGUGAAAUCCCCGGGCUCAACCUGGGAACUGCAUUCGAAACUGGCAGGCUAGAGUCUUGUAGAGGGGGGUAGAAUUCCAGGUGUAGCGGUGAAAUGCGUAGAGAUCUGGAGGAAUACCGGUGGCGAAGGCGGCCCCCUGGACGAAGACUGACGCUCAGGUGCGAAAGCGUGGGGAGCAAACAGG